CGGCGAGUGAAGCGGGAAGAGCUCAAAUUUGAAAGCUGGCGCCUUCGGCGUCCGCGUUGUAAUCUCGAGAAGUGUUUUCCGUGCUGGACCAUGUACAAGUUCCUUGGAAUAGGACGUCAUAGAGGGUGAAAAUCCCGUACUUGAUGUGGCCGCCCAGUGCUUUGUGAUACACUUUCCAUGAGUCGAGUUGUUUGGGAAUGCAGCUCAAAAUGGGUGGUAAAUUCCAUCUAAAGCUAAAUAUUGGGGAGAGACCGAUAGCGAACAAGUACCGUGAGGGAAAGAUGAAAAGCACUUUGGAAAGAGAGUUAAAUAGUACGUGAAAUUGUCGAAAGGGAAGCGCUUGAAGUUAGACAUGCUAGUUGGAAUUCAGCCUUGCUUUUGCUUGGUGCAUUUUCCGGUUAGCAGGCCAGCAUCAGUUUUGCCUGUCGGAUAAGGGUAGGAGGAAUGUGGCCCCUCGGGGUGUUAUAGCCUCUUACUGGAUACGACGGGUGGGACUGAGGACAGCAGUGCGCCUUUAUGGCGGGCCUUCGGGCACCUUCGCACUUAGGAUGCUGGCGUAAUGGCUUUAAGCGACCC
This 576-nucleotide ribosomal RNA is filed under the name Microstromatales sp. FN1L09. Its description in RNAcentral is "eukaryotic LSU rRNA". It matches the Rfam family "Eukaryotic large subunit ribosomal RNA", at positions 87 to 650 of the family's 3401-position model. Lineage: Eukaryota; Fungi; Basidiomycota; Exobasidiomycetes; Microstromatales. The record is from RNAcentral. RNAcentral also lists the same sequence under 2 other names.